RNAcentral lists this ribosomal RNA (254 nucleotides) under uncultured bacterium. RNAcentral describes it as "partial 16S ribosomal RNA". It matches the Rfam family "Bacterial small subunit ribosomal RNA", at positions 524 to 776 of the family's 1533-position model. The record is from RNAcentral.
GACGAACCGUGCGAACGUUAUUCGGAAUCACUGGGCUUAAAGCGCGUGUAGGCGGGCCGGCACGUCGGCUGCUGAAAUCCCCCGGCUCAACCGGGGAAGGGGCACCGAUACGACCGGCCUGGAGGGGGGUAGGGGGGACGGGAACUUCCGGUGGAGCGGUGAAAUGCGUUGAGAUCGGAAGGAACGCCCGCGGCGAAAGCGCGUCCCUGGACCCCGCCUGACGCUGAGGAGCGAAAGCAUGGGGAGCGAACAGG